CAUCUCUCUAAUCUCUAAUGAUUUUCUAGAAGAAAAGAAAGGGAAUUUAAUUCUCAAAGCAACCAUAUAAUUUGAUGGAAAAGCUCCCUGGAAAAUUAAUUAUUUCUUGUGUAGAAAAUGAUCCAGGCAUGCAUUGGACGUAAAUGCAAUUUUCAGUUCUGUUGUUUGCAAUUAUGGAUGUGAUAUGCUGAGCUACAGGACAUAAAUUCUUGUUUCAGAAGCAGCCUUUAGAGACAAGAUCACAAAUGAGAAGGAAGAGGUUAUGAAGACAAUCAGCUCUGUCCAGGUAUGAAACUUAGAAAGAGCUGUAACUGUUACAAUAUUCCAAUUCCCCAGUGGAUAGAGCCUUAGAGAGAAUCAUAGAAAGAUUUGGACUGGAAGACGUCUUCUCAAAGAUAAUUGAGUCGAAGCUCACAUCAUCUAGUCCAACAAGUACUGCAUUAUUACAUCUGACAUGAAGGUUAUGGAAGUCAGCACUAAACUUUCAAGGUUUUUCCCUGAAGGAUGAGAGGACAUCAGAACUGAGCAUUUUCCCAGGCCUCCAAAACAGUUUACAUUGGCUACCGAUAGUACCCCAGUGGACCAAGAAGCAAAUCGCAUAAAGGUGGUGCUGAACUUAUCACAAUGAUGCUUUCUAAGGGUGGCCUUUGAGCCACAAAGUAACUUCAAGGCCAUGAACAUCCCUCAGGACACAUUGUCUCCUGCAGCUGCCUAAAA
This 717-nucleotide long non-coding RNA is filed under the name Lonchura striata (white-rumped munia). RNAcentral's name for it is "domestica (Bengalese finch) lncRNA (ENSLSDG00000002514.1)". The record is from RNAcentral. Lineage: Eukaryota; Metazoa; Chordata; Aves; Passeriformes; Estrildidae.